UAACAUUAGAAACUUCAGUGGAGGUGGUGU
Molecule: non-coding RNA, 30 nt
Filed under: Macaca fascicularis (crab-eating macaque)
Lineage: Eukaryota; Metazoa; Chordata; Mammalia; Primates; Cercopithecidae
Also listed under: 1 other name
Source: RNAcentral